Molecule: non-coding RNA, 309 nt
Filed under: Schwartzia succinivorans
Lineage: Bacteria; Bacillati; Bacillota; Negativicutes; Selenomonadales; Selenomonadaceae
Description: T-box sequence
Rfam family: T-box leader
About the family: Uncharged tRNA acts as the effector for transcription antitermination of genes in the T-box leader family. T-boxes are found upstream of many aminoacyl-tRNA synthetase genes and some amino acid biosynthetic genes usually in Gram-positive bacteria.
Source: RNAcentral
UUCAAAUCGUUGAACAGGAAAUAGUAGCACAGCAUUACCUCAUUACAGCGAGUCGAUAACCGGUUUCCGGAGGUGUGAUGAUCGACAUGAGAGGCAGUGUGAAUGGACCUGUGAGAGCCUGCUUAAAGCGUUUUGGCGUGAGUAUGCGGGGACGGGAGCUACCGUUACAUAGCUAGAAUAUAUUUAUUGUAUUCGAUGAGACGUUACAUAGGGUGGCAGAACCAUUUCAUUCCCUUUGGGAGUGAAAUGGUUUUUUUAUACCUAUGAACUAAAAUACGGGUGGUACCGCGAAACCAUUUCGCCCCGCAG